This 492-nucleotide ribosomal RNA is filed under the name uncultured bacterium. Its description in RNAcentral is "partial 16S ribosomal RNA". It matches the Rfam family "Bacterial small subunit ribosomal RNA", at positions 29 to 507 of the family's 1533-position model. The record is from RNAcentral.
AGUGAACGCUGGCGGUAGGCCUAACACAUGCAAGUCGAACGGCGGCACAGUAAGAGCUUGCUCUUACGGGUGGCGAGUGGCGGACGGGUGAGGAAUACAUCGGAAUCUACUUUUUCGUGGGGGAUAACGUAGGGAAACUUACGCUAAUACCGCAUACGACCUACGGGUGAAAGCAUGGGAUCUUCGGACCUUGCGCGAUUGAAUGAGCCGAUGUCGGAUUAGCUAGUUGGCGGGGUAAAGGCCCACCAAGGCGACGAUCCGUAGCUGGUCUGAGAGGAUGAUCAGCCACACUGGAACUGAGACACGGUCCAGACUCCUACGGGAGGCAGCAGUGGGGAAUAUUGGACAAUGGGCGCAAGCCUGAUCCAGCCAUACCGCGUGGGUGAAGAAGGCCUUCGGGUUGUAAAGCCCUUUUGUUGGGAAAGAAAAGCAGCAGGUUAAUACCCCGCUGUUCUGACGGUACCCAAAGAAUAAGCACCGGCUAACUUCGUG